RNAcentral lists this transfer RNA (69 nucleotides) under Ictidomys tridecemlineatus (thirteen-lined ground squirrel). RNAcentral describes it as "Spermophilus tridecemlineatus (thirteen-lined ground squirrel) tRNA". It matches the Rfam family "tRNA". From Rfam's summary of the family: Transfer RNA (tRNA) molecules are approximately 80 nucleotides in length. Their secondary structure includes four short double-helical elements and three loops (D, anti-codon, and T loops). Further hydrogen bonds mediate the characteristic L-shaped molecular structure. tRNAs have two regions of fundamental functional importance: the anti-codon, which is responsible for specific mRNA codon recognition, and the 3' end, to which the tRNAs corresponding amino acid is attached (by aminoacyl-tRNA synthetases). tRNAs cope with the degeneracy of the genetic code in two manners: having more than one tRNA (with a specific anti-codon) for a particular amino acid; and 'wobble' base-pairing, i.e. permitting non-standard base-pairing at the 3rd anti-codon position. The record is from Rfam by way of RNAcentral. Lineage: Eukaryota; Metazoa; Chordata; Mammalia; Rodentia; Sciuridae.
GGAGUUGUGGCUCAGUGAUAGAGUGCCCAUCUUGUAUGUGUGAGGCACUGGGUUUGAUUCUCAGCACCA